UACGUAGGGUGCGAGCGUUGCCCGGAAUUACUGGGCGUAAAGGGCUCGUAGGUGGCCAACUAAGUCAGACGUGAAAUCCCUCAGCUUAACUGGGGAACUGCGUCUGAUACUGGAUGGCUUGAGUUUGGGAGAGGGAUGCGGAAUUCCAGGUGUAGCGGUGAAAUGCGUAGAUAUCUGGAGGAACACCGGUGGCGAAGGCGGCAUCCUGGACCAACACUGACACUGAGGAGCGAAAGCCAGGGGAGCAAACGGG
Molecule: ribosomal RNA, 253 nt
Filed under: uncultured bacterium
Lineage: Bacteria
Description: partial 16S ribosomal RNA
Rfam family: Bacterial small subunit ribosomal RNA
Source: RNAcentral